UACGGAGGGGGCUAGCGUUGUUCGGAAUUACUGGGCGUAAAGCGCUCGCAGGCGGCUCGAUGCGUCGUGCGUGAAACACCCCGGCUCAACUGGGGAGGGUCACGCGAUACUGAUCGACUCGAAGGCAGGAGAGGGUAGUGGAAUUCCCGGUGUAGUGGUGAAAUGCGUAGAUAUCGGGAGGAACACCAGUGGCGAAGGCGACUUCCUGGCCUGUUCUUGACGCUGAGGCGCGAAAGCUAGGGUAGCAAACGGG
RNAcentral lists this ribosomal RNA (253 nucleotides) under uncultured bacterium. RNAcentral describes it as "partial 16S ribosomal RNA". It matches the Rfam family "Bacterial small subunit ribosomal RNA", at positions 524 to 776 of the family's 1533-position model. The record is from RNAcentral.